UGUCCUCAGUCCCGGGUCGUCUCGGCGCGGUUCCGAGCGGUCGCUCCCUCGCGAGGUGCCGCGGGUCAGCGGCUGACGCCAGCCACCUUCCCGACCCGUCUUGAAACACGGACCAAGGAGUCUAACAUGUGCGCGAGCCGCGGGGCAGUACGAAACCCGUAAGGCGAAAUGAAGGUGAACGCCGGCGCGGUCCGGCGGAGGUUGGAUCCCGUCCCGUCGGGGCGGGCGCACUACCGGCCGAUCUUCUCCGCCCUGUCGGCGAGGUCGAGCGAGAGCGUGCAAGUCGGGACCCGAAAGAUGGUGAACUAUGCCUGAGGAGGUUGAAGCCAGAGGAAACUCUGGUGGAGGACCGUAGCGAUUCUGACGUGCAAAUCGAUCGUCAAAUUUGGGUAUAGGGGCGAAAGACUAAUCGAACCGUCUAGUAGCUGGUUCCCUUCGAAGUUUCCCUCAGGAUAGCUGGCGCUCUGUCGCAGUUUUAUCUGGUAAAGCGAAUGAUUAGAGGUCUUGGGGGCGAAACGCCCUCAACCUAUUCUCAAACUUUAAAUUGGUAAGCAGCCCCACUCGCGCGAUAUCAGAUCUCCG
This is a non-coding RNA of Ciona savignyi (Pacific transparent sea squirt), 582 nucleotides long. The record is from Rfam. NCBI's taxonomy places the organism in Eukaryota, Metazoa, Chordata, Ascidiacea, Phlebobranchia, Cionidae.